UACUCCCGCCGGCGACCGGCGCACGGGUGAGUAACACGUAUGAAACCUGCCCGUAGCAGGGGGAUAAGCGGAAGAAAUUCCGUCUAAUACCGCGUAACAACCCGAGGAGGCAUCUCCUCGGGUUUUAAAGGAAGCGAUUCCGGCUACGGAUGGUCAUGCGUCGCAUUAGCUAGUUGGCGGGGUAACGGCCCACCAAGGCGACGAUGCGUAGGGGUUCUGAGAGGAAGGUCCCCCACACUGGUACUGAGACACGGACCAGACUCCUACGGAAGGCAGCAG
Molecule: ribosomal RNA, 279 nt
Filed under: uncultured bacterium
Lineage: Bacteria
Description: partial 16S ribosomal RNA
Rfam family: Bacterial small subunit ribosomal RNA
Source: RNAcentral